This is a non-coding RNA of Phodopus roborovskii (desert hamster), 438 nucleotides long. The record is from the annotation of a RefSeq genome assembly. NCBI's taxonomy places the organism in Eukaryota, Metazoa, Chordata, Mammalia, Rodentia, Cricetidae.
AUGGACAGACUUCUUGGCAUGUUGAUAGUGACACUAUUUCUGCAACUGACAGGAGUAAACAGCCAGCUAGAAGAAAAGAAUCCUUGGGCCAUGAACAUCCAGGAGGGUAAAAAUGUCAAUGUGAACUGCAGUUAUAAAACAUCCAUAACUUCCCUACAGUGGUACAGACAGGUCUUAGGCAGAGGCCCUGCCAUUCUAAUCUUAAUACGUUCAAAUGAGAAAGAGAAACAGAGUGGAAGACUAAGAGUGACCCUUAACACCUCCACCCAGAGCAGUUCCCUGUCCAUCACUGCUGCCCGGCCUGAAGAUACUGCUGCAUACUUCUGUGCUACAGAGACACAGUGUGCAGCAGACACCUGCAGCCCUGACACAAACCCUCAGAGCUGUUUCCUAGACCUCAAGAGUGGGUGGAAUGGUGCUUAUGUCAUUUCACAAUAA